RNAcentral lists this ribosomal RNA (253 nucleotides) under uncultured bacterium. Its description in RNAcentral is "partial 16S ribosomal RNA". It matches the Rfam family "Bacterial small subunit ribosomal RNA", at positions 524 to 776 of the family's 1533-position model. The record is from RNAcentral.
UACGGAGGAUCCAAGCGUUAUCCGGAUUUAUUGGGUUUAAAGGGUGCGUAGGCUGGAUAUUAAGUCAGAGGUGAAAGCCUGCAGCUCAACUGCAGAAUUGCCUUUGAUACUGUUGUUCUUGAGUACAUUUGGUGUGGGCGGAAUGUGUCAUGUAGCGGUGAAAUGCUUAGAUAUGACACAGAACACCGAUCGCGAAGGCAGCUCACAAAACUGUUACUGACGCUGAGGCACGAAAGCGUGGGGAUCGAACAGG